RNAcentral lists this ribosomal RNA (492 nucleotides) under uncultured bacterium. Its description in RNAcentral is "partial 16S ribosomal RNA". It matches the Rfam family "Bacterial small subunit ribosomal RNA", at positions 29 to 507 of the family's 1533-position model. The record is from RNAcentral.
AGUGAACGCUGGCGGUAGGCCUAACACAUGCAAGUCGAACGUCAGCACAGUAAGUGCUUGCUCUUACUGGUGGCGAGUGGCGGACGGGUGAGGAAUACAUCGGCAUCUACUUUUUCGUGGGGGAUAACGUCGGGUAACUUACGCUAAUACCGCAUCCGACCUACGGGUGUAAGCAGGGGAUCUUCGGACCUUGUGCGUUUUAAUGAGCCGAUGUCUGUUUAGUUCGUUGGCGGGUUAAAGGCCCACCAAGUCGACGAUCCGUAGCUGGUCUGAGAGGAUGAUCAGCGACACUGGAAAGGAGACACGGGACAGAGUCCGAAGGGAGGAAGAAGGGGGGAAUAUUAGACAAUGGGCGGAAGCCUGAUCCAGCCAGAACGCGUGGGUGAAGAAGGUCAUCGGGUUGUAAAGCCCGUCUGUUGGGAAAGAAAAGCAGCAGGUUAAAACCCAGCUGUUCUGACGGUACCCAAAGAAUAAGCACCGGCUAACUUCGUG